ACGCCGUAAACGAUGAGAACUAAGUGUUGGAGAGAUUCAGUGCUGCAGUUAACGCAAUAAGUUCUCCGCCUGGGGAGUAUGCACGCAAGUGUGAAACUCAAAGGAAUUGACGGGGGCCCGCACAAGCGGUGGAGUAUGUGGUUUAAUUCGAAGCAACGCGAAGAACCUUACCAGGCCUUGACAUGGAUAUAAAUGUUCUAGAGAUAGAAAGAUAGCUAUAUAUCACACAGGUGGUGCAUGGUUGUCGUCAGCUCGUGUCGUGAGAUGUUGGGUUAAGUCCCGCAACGAGCGCAACCCUUGUCUUCUGUUACCAGCAUUAGGUUGGGGACUCAGGAGAGACUGCCGGUGACAAACCGGAGGAAGGUGGGGAUGACGUCAAAUCAUCAUGCCCCUUAUGGCCUGGGCUACACACGUACUACAAUGGCGCCUACAAAGAGCAGCGACACCGCGAGGUGGAGCGAAUCUCAUAAAGGGCGUCUCAGUUCGGAUUGAAGUCUGCAACUCGACUUCAUGAAGUCGGAAUCGCUAGUAAUCGCAGAUCAGCAUGCUGCGGUGAAUACGUUCUCGGGCCUUGUACACACCGCCCGUC
This 589-nucleotide ribosomal RNA is filed under the name uncultured bacterium. RNAcentral's name for it is "bacterial SSU rRNA". It matches the Rfam family "Bacterial small subunit ribosomal RNA", at positions 797 to 1398 of the family's 1533-position model. The record is from RNAcentral.